UGGCGACCAGGUUGGCGCCGCGGUACAUGCUGCCCGAGGCGUGCGUGUAGGCGGCCAUGGGGUUGAUGGUCUUGAAGUUGACCGAGCAGCCGCGCACGAGGCCGAGCAGGUCCUUGUGGUGGUGGCGGUCGCAGAAGUAGUAGUGCGGCUCGCGGCCGUUGAUCUGGGCCAUGGCCUUGAUGGGGUCGCCGUAGGCCGUCUGCGUGAUGUCG
RNAcentral lists this unclassified non-coding RNA (212 nucleotides) under Hevea brasiliensis (rubber tree). The record is from RNAcentral. Lineage: Eukaryota; Viridiplantae; Streptophyta; Magnoliopsida; Malpighiales; Euphorbiaceae.